UAAUACGGAGGGUGCAAGCGUUAAUCGGAAUUACUGGGCGUAAAGCGCACGCAGGCGGUUUGUUAAGUCAGAUGUGAAAUCCCCGGGCUCAACCUGGGAACUGCAUUUGAAACUGGCAAGCUAGAGUCUCGUAGAGGGGGGUAGAAUUCCAGGUGUAGCGGUGAAAUGUGUAGAGAUCUGGAGGAAUACCGGUGGCGAAGGCGGCCCCCUGGACGAAGACUGACGCUCAGGUGCGAAAGCGUGGGGAGCAAACAGGAUUAGAUACCCUGGUAGUCCACGCUGUAAACGAUGUCGAUUUGGAGGUUGUGCCCUUGAGGCGUGGCUUCCGGAGCUAACGCGUUAAAUCGACCGCCUGGGGAGUACGGCCGCAAGGUU
Molecule: ribosomal RNA, 375 nt
Filed under: uncultured Serratia sp.
Lineage: Bacteria; Pseudomonadati; Pseudomonadota; Gammaproteobacteria; Enterobacterales; Yersiniaceae
Description: bacterial SSU rRNA
Rfam family: Bacterial small subunit ribosomal RNA
Source: RNAcentral